This 329-nucleotide unclassified non-coding RNA is filed under the name Hevea brasiliensis (rubber tree). The record is from RNAcentral. Lineage: Eukaryota; Viridiplantae; Streptophyta; Magnoliopsida; Malpighiales; Euphorbiaceae.
CGAAAAUUUAAUUGCAGACUACCUCUCAAGAAAAAGAUAUGAUGAAAGAUCUACUGGCAAUGAUGACAAAUCUAUGCCAAAAAGUAGAAAAGAUAGAAAUAGAAGUAAAGGAGCUGAAAGCUAACGGUCAGCAGCAUGACCAAAAACAUGCGGAGCUACGUCGUACGGUUGACGGAAAACAGCCAGAGAUAGAAGGAAAUGAUGGGAAACUCCGGAAAACCCAUAACAAUGUUUGUUCAGAUACAGCCAAAAAUCACAAAUGCAGAUACCAGCAGAACCACAAACAUCAACCUAUGCAGUAAGCCGACUAAGUUUUAGAUUGUUGAUGG